AGCAAGUUCCCCGCGCUACCCCGCGGGAAGUCUAAUCGGAUCAAUCGGUGGUUCCGUAAUGAGUAGUCGAAUACACAUUGAGGGGCCCUUGCCUCCUCCUUCCCGCCCACACGUUCAUUCUUUUCCUCCUCUGAUCUUAGAAAGCAUACUAAACUUCACUCCAAUCUUUCUCCAUUAGCAACAAGAGCACCGGGAAUAGAAGGGGGAGGUAAUUAGAUUGUUCUGUUUAACAACUGAGCAAUAAGGAUAUUGCAAGGGAGUUAAACAUGCAAUAACAAGCCUCAUGCGUAAAGGGAGCCCACCUCUAAGGGUGGCCCCUUUACAACAGA
Molecule: long non-coding RNA, 329 nt
Filed under: Hordeum vulgare
Lineage: Eukaryota; Viridiplantae; Streptophyta; Magnoliopsida; Poales; Poaceae
Description: long non-coding RNA (HVUL_LNC012819)
Source: RNAcentral